RNAcentral lists this transfer RNA (150 nucleotides) under Aureobasidium melanogenum CBS 110374. It matches the Rfam family "tRNA". From Rfam's summary of the family: Transfer RNA (tRNA) molecules are approximately 80 nucleotides in length. Their secondary structure includes four short double-helical elements and three loops (D, anti-codon, and T loops). Lineage: Eukaryota; Fungi; Ascomycota; Dothideomycetes; Dothideales; Saccotheciaceae. The record is from Rfam by way of RNAcentral.
GCCGUGGUGGUGUAGUGGUAUCACGCCCGAUCCUAAAAUCCUACGCUCCUAUUCGCCUACCUAAGUCCCUAAACUCGCUUACCUAAUAUCCUAAUUCUCUCUCUCUCCUCUGGGAUCGGGAGGUCGCAGGUUCGAUUCCUGCCCACGGUG